CGCGAAAACUUUGCGAUAAGCGAAAGCUUGACAGGGUUAUUCUGAGUGAUUUCCGCUAAGGAAAUCUUUUGGCACCUCUAAAAAUGGUGCAGAAUAAGGGGUGGGCAAGCCUGGUGUCAGCCGCCGCGGUAAUACCAGCACCCCGAGUGGUCGGGACGAUUAUUGGGCCUAAAGCAUCCGUAGCCGGUUCUACAAGUCUUCCGUUAAAUCCACCUGCUUAACAGAUGGGCUGCGGAGGAUACUAUGGAGCUAGGAGGCGGGAGAGGCAAGCGGUACUUAGUGGGUAGGGGUAAAAUCCGUUGAUCCAUUGAAGACCACCAGUGGCGAAGGCGGCUUGCCAGAACGCACUCGACGGUGAGGGAUGAAAGCUGGGGGAGCAAACCGGAUUAGAUACCCGGGUAGUCCCAGCUGUAAACGAUGCAGACUCGGUGAUGAAUAGGCUUCGUGCCUAUUCAGUGCCGCAGGGAAGCCGUUAAGUCUGCCGCCUGGGGAGUACGGUCGCAAGACUGAAACUUAA
This 517-nucleotide ribosomal RNA is filed under the name uncultured archaeon. RNAcentral's name for it is "bacterial SSU rRNA". It matches the Rfam family "Archaeal small subunit ribosomal RNA", at positions 340 to 859 of the family's 1478-position model. The record is from RNAcentral.